AUUGAACGCUGGCGGCAGGCCUAACACAUGCAAGUCGAGCGGAUGAAGGGAGCUUGCUCCUGGAUUCAGCGGCGGACGGGUGAGUAAUGCCUAGGAAUCUGCCUGGUAGUGGGGGAUAACGUCCGGAAACGGGCGCUAAUACCGCAUACGUCCUGAGGGAGAAAGUGGGGGAUCUUCGGACCUCACGCUAUCAGAUGAGCCUAGGGGAUUAGCUAGUUGGUGGGGUAAAGGCCUACCAAGGCGACGAUCCGUAACUGGUCUGAGAGGAUGAUCAGUCACACUGGAACUGAGACACGGUCCAGACUCCUACGGGAGGCAGCAGUGGGGAAUAUUGGACAAUGGGCGAAAGCCUGAUCCAGCCAUGCCGCGUGUGUGAAGAAGGUCUUCGGAUUGUAAAGCACUUUAAGUUGGGAGGAAGGGCAGUAAGUUAAUACCUUGCUGUUUUGACGUUACCAACAGAAUAAGCACCGGCUAACUUCGUG
This 482-nucleotide ribosomal RNA is filed under the name uncultured bacterium. RNAcentral's name for it is "partial 16S ribosomal RNA". It matches the Rfam family "Bacterial small subunit ribosomal RNA", at positions 30 to 507 of the family's 1533-position model. The record is from RNAcentral.